Molecule: ribosomal RNA, 481 nt
Filed under: uncultured bacterium
Lineage: Bacteria
Description: partial 16S ribosomal RNA
Rfam family: Bacterial small subunit ribosomal RNA
Source: RNAcentral
GAUGAACGCUGGCGGCGUGCCUAACACAUGCAAGUCGAACGGAGAUUACGGACGGAAGUUUUCGGAUGGAAGCCUGUAAUUCUUAGUGGCGGACGGGUGAGUAACGCGUGGGCAACCUGCCCUAUACAGGGGGAUAGCAGCUGGAAACGGCUGGUAAGACCGCAUAAGUCGGUUAAAUCGCAUGAUUUGAUCGGGAAAUGAGCAAUCAGGUAUAGGAUGGGCCCGCGUCCGAUUAGCCAGUUGGCAGGGUAAAAGCCUACCAAAGCGACGAUCGGUAGCCGGACUGAGAGGUCGGACGGCCACAUUGGGACUGAGACACGGCCCAAACUCCUACGGGAGGCAGCAGUGGGGGAUAUUGCACAAUGGAGGAAACUCAGAUGCAGCGACGCCGCGUGAGUGAAGAAGUAUUUCGGUAUGUAAAGCUCUAUCAGCAGGGAAGAUGAUGACGGUACCUGACUAAGAAGCCCCGGCUAACUACGUG